UGCCUAACACAUGCAAGUCGAACGAAGGCUUCGGCCUUAGUGGCGCACGGGUGAGUAACACGUGGGAACCUGCCUUUCGGUUCGGAAUAACGUUUGGAAACGAACGCUAACACCGGAUACGCCCUAUGGGGGAAAGUUUACGCCGAGAGAGGGGCCCGCGUCGGAUUAGGUAGUUGGUGAGGUAAAGGCUCACCAAGCCUUCGAUCCGUAGCUGGUCUGAGAGGAUGAUCAGCCACACUGGGACUGAGACACGGCCCAGACUCCUACGGGAGGCAGCAGUGGGGAAUAUUGGACAAUGGGCGCAAGCCUGAUCCAGCAAUGCCGCGUGAGUGAUGAAGGCCUUAGGGUUGUAAAGCUCUUUCGCACGCGACGAUGAUGACGGUAGCGUGAGAAGAAGCCCCGGCUAACUUCGUGCCAGCAGCCGCGGUAAUACGAAGGGGGCUAGCGUUGUUCGGAAUUACUGGGCGUAAAGGGCGCGUAGGCGGCCUGUUUAGUCAGAAGUGAAAGCCCCGGGCUCAACCUGGGAAUAGCUUUUGAUACUGGCAGGCUUGAGUUCCGGAGAGGAUGGUGGAAUUCCCAGUGUAGAGGUGAAAUUCGUAGAUAUUGGGAAGAACACCGGUGGCGAAGGCGGCCAUCUG
RNAcentral lists this ribosomal RNA (638 nucleotides) under uncultured Alphaproteobacteria bacterium. RNAcentral describes it as "bacterial SSU rRNA". It matches the Rfam family "Bacterial small subunit ribosomal RNA", at positions 45 to 731 of the family's 1533-position model. Lineage: Bacteria; Pseudomonadati; Pseudomonadota; Alphaproteobacteria. The record is from RNAcentral.